Non-coding RNA from Labrus bergylta (ballan wrasse), 291 nucleotides. NCBI's taxonomy places the organism in Eukaryota, Metazoa, Chordata, Actinopteri, Labriformes, Labridae. The record is from RefSeq and is a predicted model, not a curated record.
CUCCUCUUCAGCUCCACCGUUGUAUUCAAACAUGGUCACCUCCGUCUCCAGCUCCUCCUCCAGCAUUAUACUGAACAUCUCCUGCACAAAGUUGUUCUCAUGUAGCGCUCCUCCUCAGCUCCACCCUCUCCUCAAGUCACCUGUGGCUCCAGGAACAGGAGGUGAAAUCUAAAGAAGAGCCGUGAACAACAGAACAGAGGAGACAGGAAGCAGCACAGAGGACACAGACAGGAUGAGGCUGAAUGAACAGACCGACAACGAGAGAGAAGAAGAAAAGACGAGAGACAAGUG